UUCCCAUUUUUAAAUGCAGGAGCACUACGGCUUCCUGCUGGGCCUGCAGGACGUGCUGCUGCGGGAGCUACGGCACGGCGCCCGUCUGUGCGACGUCUACGCCGCCGUGAUGGACGUGGUCAAGAAGCAGCGGCCGGAGCUGCUGGGCAAGGUCACCAAGAAUUUGGGGUUCGCCAUGGGCAUCGAGUUCCGCGAGGGCUCCCUGGUCAUCAACAGCAAGAACCAGCAGCGCCUCAAGAAGGG
Molecule: long non-coding RNA, 243 nt
Organism: Pyrgilauda ruficollis (rufous-necked snowfinch)
Lineage: Eukaryota; Metazoa; Chordata; Aves; Passeriformes; Passeridae
Exons: 3
Source: RefSeq, a predicted model, not a curated record